Molecule: long non-coding RNA, 1250 nt
Filed under: Cavia porcellus (domestic guinea pig)
Lineage: Eukaryota; Metazoa; Chordata; Mammalia; Rodentia; Caviidae
Description: lncRNA (ENSCPOG00000038939.1)
Source: RNAcentral
CUCAACAGGCUCCCAGGAAGGUCCUGUGAACGUUCCCAGCAGCAGUGACAGCAGGUAGGACGCGCUCCACAAAGCCCCAAAGAAGAAGAGCAUCAAGUCCUCCACUGGUCGUUUGUUUGGCAAAAAGGAAAAGGGUCCGCCUGGACAAACUGGCAAAGAAUCACCAAGACAAGGUAGGCCGGUUUUAGGCAGCUGUCCUAACUGCUGGGAUUGGGAGAGCAUGCGCUUUUUCCUAUGUACCUGCCACAGGUGUCCAGUGCCCACAAGGAAUCAUGGCUGAGCAUUCUCCAGACAGCCCAGUCUGCCCACAUGUGAACCAGAGCCGAGCAGUGGACAUUCAUUUGGCGUGAAUGAAUAACCCUCUUAUAUGCUAAUUUAUACACUUGAACAUUUAUAUGUGUUUGCUCGGAAAGCUUACCCUUCAGAAAUGAUUCAGCUCUCUACCUGCAGAAUCUUCUUCCUAUUUGUGAAACAUAUAACUUUGCCAUGUUAAUUUACUCUAAAUUUGGGGGCUUUUCUUCUCUUUUGUAGCCGUUGUUUCUGAAACGGAAAACUCAUCUCAGGAUGCCUUCCAACUUAGCAAAUUGGGAGGAAAGGAUGAAAAAAAUCGUCAACUUCAAAAACACUCAACAGGCUCCCAGGAAGGUCCUGUGAACAAUCCCAGUACCAGUGACAGCAGGCAGGACGCGCUCCACAAAGCCCCAAAGAAGAAGAGCAUCAAGUCCUCCACUGGUCGUUUGUUUGGCAAAAAGAAAAAGGGUCCGCCUGGACAAACUGGCAAAGAAUCACCAAGACAAGGUGGGCCGGUUUUAGGCAGCUGUCCUAACUGCUGGAAUUGGGAGAGCCUGAGAUUUUUCCUAUGUGCCUGCUGCAGGUGUCCAGUGCCCACGAGGAGUCAUGGCUGAGCGUUCUUCUGACAGCCCAGUUUGCCCACAUGUAAAACAAAGCAGAGCAGUGGACAUUCAUUUGGCUUGAAUGAAUAACCCUCUCAUAUGCUAAUUUAUAUGCUUGAACAUUUAUAUGUGUUUGCUCAGAAGCUUACACUUCAGAAAUGAUUCAGCUCUCUACCUGCAGAAUCUUCUUCCUAUUUGUGAAACAUAUAACUUUGCCAUGUUAAUUUACUCUAAAUUUGGUGAAUUUUCUUCUUUUUUGUAGCUCUUGUUUCUGAAACAGAAAACUCAUCUCAGGAUGCCUUCCAACUUAGCAAACUGGGAGGAAAGGAUGAAAAAAAUCGUCAACUUCAAAAACAG